This is a long non-coding RNA of Ctenopharyngodon idella (grass carp), 2895 nucleotides long. RefSeq lists it as uncharacterized. The transcript is spliced from 3 exons. Lineage: Eukaryota; Metazoa; Chordata; Actinopteri; Cypriniformes; Xenocyprididae. The record is from RefSeq and is a predicted model, not a curated record.
AUAAAACAUGUUUUUAAUACUUAUGAUUUUAACAAUUAUAACUAAAUAUUCUGCGUGGUGACCAAGUCACAAGUCACAGUUAAGCAUUUUACAUAUGCAUGAAAUAUGAAUGAUUGUUUUGCAUACAUAAAACGCAAACAUUAUGACAUUAUAUGUAGUUGUUUUUAUUUGAAUCAGGCAAAAUAUGAGUAUGACUACUUUAAUGCGAUUUUAAUGAUGUUUAUAUACAUUGCAAAAUUAAGUCAUUUCGGCUUAUUUUUACAUGAUGAUUGUUUGAUCAUUUUUGCACCCAAAAAUAAUAUAUUGUAGAAGACAUUUUGUAUUUAUAAUCAAAUGCAAAUUGUAGCUAUUUUUAAUCGUAUCAUUUUUGCAUACAAUGAAAUAACUACAAUAUUAUAUAUUGUCACAAGAUAACUGAAAUCGUAUACACAGAAUAAGAAAUCUUACAAUGUUUUGCAUAGCCAUAAAAUGCGAAAUGAAGCCUAUCCAUUCUAUAAAUAGCUAUUUCGUGAAAUCAUUUCUAUUCAUAGUGCACAAAUUAAGACAUUCAGUGCUUAUUUUGUAUUUAUUAUACAAUAAUAAUGAUAAAAAGAUAUAUUUUGCAUACAUAAAAUGCAAGCUUUUUCUCCUAAAAGAGACUUUUUUUUAUCAACUUUACAUUGCCAUUGAUUGUCGUCUGCUGUUGCUUAACUUGUACUUCAGGCUCCACUGAACGACCUGUUGGCAGCUGUCCACUAAACAAAAUGCAGUCAGAAACCUCAGCAAACGAACAGAGAAACGCACUCAUUCGCUCCAAAGUCUUCCAUUUACUGCAUUUCAAUGUCGCAACAUGCACAACAAGGCGUCCAGACAAACUUUGCAGAAGUUCUGAGGUAACGUGCAGGAAAACGCAUAAGGAGAAUUGCAGCCAGCAACAGAAGUCCGAUAUACUGCAUGGUGUGUGAGCUUGUCAUGCUGACCAUUGCGUGUGUUACUGCAGCUCGAGACAAAAGCUGGGGCAGAAUUCCUUCUCUCUUCAUAUGAAAAAGCAUGGAGGCGGGGCAGCGCUUGACUAUCAAGGAAACAAAGUGCAAGAUUUGCUUUCCUGUAAAGAUAAUGCAUGUUUUUCCAAACCCUAGGGGUUUCUUCCAUGGAACACAAAUGAAGAUAUUUGGCAGAAUGACAAGCCUUAAUCACUGUUCACUUGUAUUGUAAAGAUGUCUGUUUGGGUUUCAUGGGAAUAAAGGGAAGAUAUAUACAGAUUUGAAACAUCAGGGUGAAUAAAUAGUGACAGAAUUUUGUCUCUAAAUUCAUAUCAUAUUUGACACAUACAUUUAUAAGGCCUCUAAAUUAUCAACAAGCUCGAAAUUCUGCAGUUGUACAUGGUCCUUCUGCUCUUUGAUUUAUAGUUUACUUUAUUAAUCUUUUUUUCAUACAUCAUACUUGUUUAUCCUUUUAGUACAAAAAGUCCACCUUCAUGUUGUGGUACACGUCUUACUCCUUUUGCUGUUAAAUCUUUAAUGGUUUUUAUAAAGUAAGUGUAAGAAUAACUUAUGGUAGUAAUAUUUCAAGAUGAACAUUUAUUGGUCUGAAGCAACGUGUGUUUACUUGAUUAUCCAUACAUCUUUUUUCCUUUUAGAAACAAUUGUGUUAAAAUAAAAAAUGGCUUUUGAGGAACAUUUGUUUGUCCAUCUCUCAAUCAACCAGGGUUGCCAGGUUUUUGUAACAAAACCAGCCCAACUGCUAUUCUAAACCUGCCCAAUCACCAGUGCUGCCAAUUUAGCGAUUUUGUCGCUACACUUAGCGACUUCCCUGCCCCUUUUGAGACUUUUUUCAACAGCCUAGUGACAAAUCUAGCAACUUCUUGGACAAACCUUAUCUAGAUUCCGUGACUCACAUUUACUGAUCUAUAUUUAUAUUAAUAUCGAUCAGUGGACUCGCCAGUAUGAAGUCAUCUGGCAACAUUUAGCGACCAGAUUUUGCUACUUUCAGCUGUAGGCAAAUGGCUUCAAUGCCAAUCACGGCCAAAACUAGCCCAAUCGGGGGUCCUUUCAACCCUUGGCAAAAGUAGCCCAAUUCUGCAGGACUUGGCAACACUGCAAUCAACAUUGUAUUGCUUUGCAUUAUAUAUUUUUUCCACCAAAAUUAAAACUACAGAGCUUUGAUCAUAAGCAUUUAAAUAUCAUAAUACUAAAGCCCGGAACACACCAAGCCGACGUUUUUGUUUUUGUUCAUCGGCCGACUAAGUUUUCUCAGUGCGUUCCACACCGUUGGCUGAAGUUAGUCCUUUUUUUCAGCUGAUUCGACAUUUUGAAUCGGCGUUAGAGCUUGUCGGUCAGUUGGGCCAUCCUAUCAUUCUGAUUGGCUAUUCAGCUACUGCCACCUGGUGGCACACAAAGGCAUUUCUUCUUACGCAGGCGUAGAACGGACGUGCUACUUGACCGUCGGGUGUCGAGCGUCGGUUUGGUGUGUCAGGACAACUUUGGACCCAGACACUGCCGACGUGAGCCAACCCCGCAGUCUGCUUUCGUCGCCACUAGUUCGUCGCCAUCGGCUUGGUGUGUUCCGGGCUUAAGACAUGUUAUUUGGAGAUACCAAGUUACAACUGAUAAUUAUAUGCAUUUUAUGUAAGUCGUGCUAUAUUGUUACCAAAAUCUAAUUGAAUUUACAAGCUAUCUUUUUGGCCAUAUAAAUAACAACAUCUGCACCAAACUGUAUAUUUUGCUCAGUUUGGGUAGCUGGUUUAUAACUGGCCUAAGUUUAUCAUCAUUGGCUGGUCCAAGUUGGCUAUAAGUUUGUCUAAAUUGGAAGAACAUCUUGGACUAGAACUUGAACUAAUGUCCAACUUGCAUCAGCUAAUGACCAGCUAGAAACCAGCAAAACUUCCAAAACACAGGGUUUAAAUGAAUUAGUUGU